GAACUGUGCAAACGUUAUUCGGAAUCACUGGGCUUAAAGGGUGCGUAGGCGGGUUAGUAGGUCAGAUGUGAAAUCCCACGGCUCAACCGUGGAACUGCGUUUGAAACCACUAGUCUUGAGGGGAUCAGAGGAGAGCGGAACUGAUGGUGGAGCGGUGAAAUGCGUUGAUAUUAUCAGGAACACCGGUGGCGAAGGCGGCUCUCUGGGAUCUUUCUGACGCUGAGGCACGAAAGCUAGGGGGAGCGAACGGGAUUAGAUACCCCGGUAGUCCUAGCUGUAAACGAUCUGUACUAGUCCCGUGGGGACCCCCCACAUCUUCUCGGACGUAGCGAAAGUGUUAAGUACAGCGCCUGGGGAGUAUGGUCGCAAGGCUG
Molecule: ribosomal RNA, 374 nt
Filed under: uncultured organism
Description: partial 16S ribosomal RNA
Rfam family: Bacterial small subunit ribosomal RNA
Source: RNAcentral